RNAcentral lists this transfer RNA (73 nucleotides) under Mus musculus (house mouse). RNAcentral describes it as "tRNA-Asn". Lineage: Eukaryota; Metazoa; Chordata; Mammalia; Rodentia; Muridae. The record is from RNAcentral.
GGAGAGAUGGCUCAGCGAUUGAGAGCACUGACUGUUCUUCCAGAGGUCCUGAGUUCAAUUCCCAGCAACCACA